RNAcentral lists this ribosomal RNA (263 nucleotides) under uncultured Lactobacillus sp. Its description in RNAcentral is "partial 16S ribosomal RNA". It matches the Rfam family "Bacterial small subunit ribosomal RNA", at positions 82 to 339 of the family's 1533-position model. The record is from RNAcentral. Lineage: Bacteria; Bacillati; Bacillota; Bacilli; Lactobacillales; Lactobacillaceae.
AACAAUGAAGCGAGUGGCGAACUGGUGAGUAACACGUGGGAAAUCUGCCCAGAAGCAGGGGAUAACACUUGGAAACAGGUGCUAAUACCGUAUAACAACUACUUUCACAUGAUCGUAGCUUGAAAGAUGGCUCUGCUAUCGCUUUUGGAUGGACCCGCGGCGUAUUAGCUAGUUGGUGAGGUAAUAGCUCACCAAGGCAAUGAUACGUAGCCGACCUGAGAGGGUAAUCGGCCACAUUGGGACUGAGACACGGCCCAAACUCC